Long non-coding RNA from Mauremys reevesii (Reeves's turtle), 567 nucleotides. RefSeq lists it as uncharacterized. The record is from RefSeq and is a predicted model, not a curated record. The transcript has 3 exons. Lineage: Eukaryota; Metazoa; Chordata; Testudines; Geoemydidae.
UGUCAGGGAUAAAUGCUCCAUUUGUUCCUCUUUCCCAACAAGAACAAAUCUAGGGAAUUCCACCUUAGGAAGUACUUUCUGGAGGGAGCACUCAAAACGGUGAUGUGUCCCUCUUCAGAAUUUGGCCUGAAUCACAAGAGGAUGGAGAGCUCUUCCACAAAGAUCACACCUCUGGAUACUUCGACCUCAAAACCAAAGACUGGAGAAAAGAGCAGCUUUUCUUCUUCUCCUGUGGUGUCCUCGAAGCAGAAGUUCUUCUCUGAAUGAUUGUACAUGUCCAUUCCACUUCAGGCAGUGGGAACACUUCUGAGGCACACGUCCCUCUUCCAGGCAGCGGAUACACCGUGCGUGGCCGUCCAUUAUAGAGAAGAUGUCUCCGCACAAGACACACUGCUUAAACCCAGGAGGAAGAAGCAGAAAAAGGAAACCAAGGAGCUAACUAACUACACCUCUACCUUGAUAUAACGCGACCUGAUACAACACGAAUUCGGAUAUAACGCGGCAAAGCAGCACUCCGGGGGGGCAGGGUUGCACGCUCCGGACGAUCAAAGCAAGUUUCACCUAUAA